GCAUAUCAAUAAGCGGAGGAAAAGAAACUAACAAGGAUUCCCUUAGUAGAGGCGAUCGAACAGGGAUUAGCCCAGAACUGAAUCCUGCAACGCAAGUUGUUAGGAAAUGUAGUUUUUGGUUCAGUGCUUACGGCUUAUUGGAGUUGUUCGAAGUCCACGUGAUUGUGGCUUCAAGCCCAGAGAGGGUGUAAGGCCCGUACGAACAAUACAGUAUGUCCUGGCGCUGUUCCUAGAGUAGAGUUGUUUGGGAAUGCAGCUCGAAUCGGGUGGUAAACUCCAUCCAAGGCUAAAUACAACACGAGUCCGAUAGCGAACAAGUACCAUGAGGGAAAGUUGAAAAGAACUUUGAAGAGAGAGUUCAACAGUGCGUGAAACCGCUCAAAGGGAAACGGGCAGAGCUGAAGGAGAAUUUGUGCAUUUGUAUUUCAGCGUGGCUUCAUGCUUGAUGCGGAGAUGGCUUACCACUCGGUCAUGUAUGUGUGCUGCAAUGUUGUGCUAUUGUGCAUUUUCGACACCACGAUGGGUAUGUAAUUUGGCCUGUCAUGUGAGGGAAGGUAGCUUCGGACUUGUCCGAAGUGUUAUAGCCUUUAUGUGCAGCGCCAGAUGAAUACCGGUUUGCGAUGCUUGCUAUUGUGUCCCACAUGAUGUGAUAUGGUGAAAAGGGGUUGGGUUAACUCAUUUAGAGAUGGCCUGGCUCUCCGAUUGUCAUGUUAUGUCCUCUGUGGGUUGCAUCAAUAAUCUGUGGUGGAAUUGUAGGUUUUCUGCCUGACCCGUCUUGAAACACGGACCAAGGAGUGUAGCACAUGCGCGAGUCAUUGGGUCAUACGAAACCUAAAGGCGAAUUGAAAGAAAAGAUCUGAUUCAUUCAGGUUUAGGUAUGAUCUCGGUUUUCAAUGUGCGGCAACGUACAUGGACUGAGCGCAAUACCAUCUCAUGCCAUGCUUUAUAAAGUGGUGUGACGAAAGAGCGCAUGUGCUGCGACCCGAAAGAUGGUGAACUAUGCUUGUGUAGGUCGAAGCCAGAGGAAACUCUGGUGGAAGACCGUAGCGAUUCUGACGUGCAAAUCGAUCGUCAAACAUGAGUAUAGGGGCGAAAGACUAAUCGAACCAUCUAGUAGCUGGUUCCGCCCGAAGUUUCCCUCAGGAUAGCUGGCGCUCGAGAAUCAAACAGUUUUAUCCGGUAAAGCGAAUGAUUAGCAGUAUUGGGGAUGACAUAUCCUCAACUGAUUCUCAAACUUUAAAUGGGUGAGAUGCUCAACUCUCUUGAAUAUGGAGUUGGGCUUGUUAGAAUGUGAGUGCCUUGUGGGCCAUUUUUGGUAAGCAGAACUGGCGCUGUGGGAUGAACCAAACGUAUGGAUAAGGUGCCAAACAUAACGCUCAUCAGAAACCACAAAAGGUGUUGGUUGAUUUUGACAGCAGGACGGUGGCCAUGGAAGUCGGAAUCCGCUAAGGAGUGUGUAACAACUCACCUGCCGAAUCAACCAGCCCUGAAAAUGGAUGGCGCUGGAGCGUUGGACCUAUACCAUACCGUUACAGUGAAAUGCAAAGUAUGCUGUAACGAGUAGGGCGGCGCCGUGAUGAGCUUGGAAGCCUAGGCCGUGAGGCUGGGUGGAGCCGUCACGGGUGCAGAUCUUGGUGGUAGUAGCAAAUAUUCAAGUGAGAACCUUGAA
Molecule: ribosomal RNA, 1669 nt
Filed under: Phonorhynchella biarcuata
Lineage: Eukaryota; Metazoa; Platyhelminthes; Rhabdocoela; Polycystididae
Description: eukaryotic LSU rRNA
Rfam family: Eukaryotic large subunit ribosomal RNA
Source: RNAcentral